CGCCAAAGACGGUAACAGCCCGGUAGUUGAAAUGGCUUUCCCUCCAGAGUGGAUCCUGAGUACGGCGGAACACGUGAAAUUCCGUCGGAAUCCGGGAGGACCAUCUCCCAAGGCUAAAUACUCCCUAGUGACCGAUAGUGAACCAGUACCGUGAGGGAAAGGUGAAAAGCACCCCGGAAGGGGAGUGAAACAGUUCCUGAAACCGUGUGCCUACAAGUAGUUAGAGCCCGUUAAUGGGUGAUAGCGUGCCUUUUGUAGAAUGAACCGGCGAGUUACGAUUUGUUGCAAGGUUAAGCGGAAAAAGCGGAGCCGUAGCGAAAGCGAGUCUGAAUAGGGCGCAUAAGUAACAGGUCGUAGACCCGAAACCAGGUGAUCUACCCAUGUCCAGGAUGAAGGUAAGGUAAUACUUACUGGAGGUCCGAACCCACGCACGUUGAAAAGUGCGGGGAUGAGGUGUGGGUAGCGGAGAAAUUCCAAUCGAACUUGGAGAUAGCUGGUUCUCUCCGAAAUAGCUUUAGGGCUAGCCUCGAGGUAAAGAGUCAUGGAGGUAGAGCACUGUUUGGACUAGGGGCCCUUCUCGGGUUACCGAAUUCAGAUAAACUCCGAAUGCCAUGUACUUAUACUCGGGAGUCAGACUGCGAGUGAUAAGAUCCGUAGUCGAAAGGGAAACAGCCCAGACCACCAGUUAAGGUCCCCAAAUAUAUGUUAAGUGGAAAAGGAUGUGGGGUUGCUUAGACAACCAGGAUGUUGGCUUAGAAGCAGCCACCAUUGAAAGAGUGCGUAAUAGCUCACUGGUCGAGUGACCCCGCGCCGAAAAUGUACCGGGGCUAAACAUAUUACCGAAACUGUGGAUGAACCUCUUUAGAGGUUCGUGGUAGGAGAGCGUUCUAAGGGCGGUGAAGUCAGACCGGAAGGACUGGUGGAGCGCUUAGAAGUGAGAAUGCCGGUAUGAGUAGCGAAAGAAGGGUGAGAAUCCCUUCCACCGAAUAUCUAAGGUUUCCUGAGGAAGGCUCGUCCGCUCAGGGUUAGUCGGGACCUAAGCCGAGGCCGAUAGGCGUAGGCGAUGGACAACAGGUAGAGAUUCCUGUACCAGUGCUAAUUGUUUAACCGAUGGGGUGACACAGAAGGAUAGGGAAUCGCACGAAUGGAAAUGUGCGUCCAAGCAGUGAGUGUGAGAAGUAGGCAAAUCCGCUUCUCGCGAAGCAUGAGCUGUGAUGGGGAAGGAAAUUAAGUACGGAAGUUCCUGAUUUCACGCUGUCAAGAAAAGCCUCUAGGAAGAGUAGUACUGCCCGUACCGCAAACCGACACAGGUAGAUGAGGAGAGAAUCCUAAGGUGAGCGAGAGAACUCUCGUUAAGGAACUCGGCAAAAUGACCCCGUAACUUCGGGAGAAGGGGUGCUCUAUUAGGGUGCAAGCCCGAGAGAGCCGCAGUGAAUAGGCCCAGGCGACUGUUUAGCAAAAACACAGGUCUCUGCAAAACCGUAAGGUGACGUAUAGGGGCUGACGCCUGCCCGGUGCUGGAAGGUUAAGAGGAGUGCUUAGCUUCGGCGAAGGUACGAAUUGAAGCCCCAGUAAACGGCGGCCGUAACUAUAACGGUCCUAAGGUAGCGAAAUUCCUUGUCGGGUAAGUUCCGACCCGCACGAAAGGCGCAACGAUCUGGGCACUGUCUCAACGAGAGACUCGGUGAAAUUAUAGUACCUGUGAAGAUGCAGGUUACCCGCGACAGGACGGAAAGACCCCGUGGAGCUUUACUGCAACCUGAUAUGGAAUGUUUGUACCGCUUGUACAGGAUAGGUAGGAGCCGAAGAGACGUGUGCGCUAGCAUACGAGGAGGCAAUGGUGGGAUACUACCCUGGCUGUAUGACCAUUCUAACCCGCCACGCUUAGCGCGUGGGGAGACAGUGUCAGGUGGGCAGUUUGACUGGGGCGGUCGCCUCCUAAAGAGUAACGGAGGCGCCCAAAGGUUCCCUCAGAAUGGAUGGAAAUCAUUCGCAGAGUGUAAAGGCACAAGGGAGCUUGACUGCGAGACUGACAAGUCGAGCAGGGACGAAAGUCGGGCUUAGUGAUCCGGUGGUUCCGCAUGGAAGGGCCAUCGCUCAACGGAUAAAAGCUACCCCGGGGAUAACAGGCUUAUCUCCCCCAAGAGUCCACAUCGACGGGGAGGUUUGGCACCUCGAUGUCGGCUCGUCGCAUCCUGGGGCUGUAGUCGGUCCCAAGGGUUGGGCUGUUCGCCCAUUAAAGCGGCACGCGAGCUGGGUUCAGAACGUCGUGAGACAGUUCGGUCCCUAUCCGUCGCGGGCGCAGGAAAUUUGAGAGGAGCUGUCCUUAGUACGAGAGGACCGGGAUGGACACACCGCUGGUGUACCAGUUGUUCCGCCAGGAGCAUCGCUGGGUAGCUAUGUGUGGCAGGGAUAAACGCUGAAAGCAUCUAAGCGUGAAGCCCCCCUCAAGAUGAGAUUUCCCAUUUCUUCGGAAAGUAAGAUCCCUGAAAGAUGAUCAGGUAGAUAGGUUUGGAGUGGAAGUGUAGCGAUACAUGGAGCGGACAAAUACUAAUCGAUCGAGGACUUAACCAAAA
Molecule: ribosomal RNA, 2576 nt
Filed under: Listeria monocytogenes
Lineage: Bacteria; Bacillati; Bacillota; Bacilli; Caryophanales; Listeriaceae
Description: partial 23S ribosomal RNA
Rfam family: Bacterial large subunit ribosomal RNA
Source: RNAcentral